Molecule: ribosomal RNA, 460 nt
Filed under: uncultured bacterium
Lineage: Bacteria
Description: partial 16S ribosomal RNA
Rfam family: Bacterial small subunit ribosomal RNA
Source: RNAcentral
CCUACGGGGGGCAGCAGUGAGGAAUAUUGGUCAAUGGACGAGAGUCUGAACCAGCCAAGUAGCGUGAAGGAUGACUGCCCUAUGGGUUGUAAACUUCUUUUAUAUGGGAAUAAAAUGUUCCACGUGUGGGAUUUUGUAUGUCUCAUAUGAAUAAGGAUCGGCUAACUCCGUGCCAGCUGCCGCGGUAAUACGGAGGAUCCGAGCGUUAUCCGGAUUUAGUGGGGUUAAAGGGUGCGUAGGUGGAUUGUUAAGUCAGAUGUGAAAGUUUGCGGCUCAACCGUAAAAUUGCAGUUGAAACUGGCAGUCUUGAGUACAGUAGAGGUAGGCGGAAUUCGUGGUGUAGCGGUGAAAUGCUUAGAUAUCACGAAGAACUCCGAUUGCGAAGGCAGCUCACUGGACUACAACUGACACUGAGGCUCGAAAGUGUGGGUAUCAAACAGGAUUAGAUACCCGUGUAGUC